GCAGCUAGAUCCCCGGUGCUUUUUGU
RNAcentral lists this non-coding RNA (26 nucleotides) under Rattus norvegicus (Norway rat). Lineage: Eukaryota; Metazoa; Chordata; Mammalia; Rodentia; Muridae. The record is from RNAcentral.